AUGUAUGUAGUAUUACUCACUCACUCACUCAAUCUGUACAGGAGCAGAACAAAUUUAACCAAACGAAUCAACGAAUUUCACCACUGGACUGGACUGGACCAAAAACUUGGAUGGAUCGAUGGGAUCCAUGCAGCAGCAGCUAGAUGCUCAGGCGGUGAGAAGCCGGGGCUUCUUGAAGGCGAGGGGGCUCUGCACCUCCUCCUCGUCCUCCCACAUCUUGCCCUUGGCGCACGGCCUCCACACGAACUCCGGCACGGCCGGGAUGUUCAGGUCGAAGGCCCGGGCGGCGGAGCUCCCGUUGCCGGUGCUCCCCACCUCGGACUCGGCGGCCGCGGCGGCCAGAAGCUCGGUGGACGAGGGGGCGACGCUGCCCACGCCUCCGUCGUAGUGCUUCCUCUUGUGCCCGCCCAGCGCCUGCCCGGUGGGGAACUCCUUUUGGCAGAUGGAGCACCUGUGGACCCUGUUGGUCGUGCCGUCGGAGGACGCGGCGGUGGACGACGUGGCCGGCUCGGCGGACGGCAGGACGGCGGCGACGGCCGGGAGGGCCACGAGUGGAGCGGCGGCGGCAUCAGCGGGAGGAGACGGCUGCUUCACCCGGUGGCUCGUCUUGUGGCCACCCAGCGCCUGGUAGGAGCUGAAGGACUUGCCGCACACGGAGCACUUGAACUCGGCAGGCACCGGCGCAGAGAACGACUCCGGCUGCGGCGCCUGAACACGCUGCUUGCCGCCGCGGGAGAGCAUGAGGAGGCAGAGCGCGAGGUUCUCCUCCUCGGAGCGCUGGCGGCGCGAUCGCUUCCUCUUGGCCCAGCCCUGCAGCACGUGGCCGCUCUCCUCGCCGCUGGUGGCGCCGCUGAGCGCCGCGGCCGCCAUCUCCCCGUCGCGCUGCUGCUGCUCCGGGAUCAGGGCGUGGAGCGCUUCCAUGGCCGACGACGACAUGGCUAA
This 942-nucleotide ribosomal RNA is filed under the name Triticum aestivum (bread wheat). Its description in RNAcentral is "partial small subunit ribosomal RNA". The record is from RNAcentral. Lineage: Eukaryota; Viridiplantae; Streptophyta; Magnoliopsida; Poales; Poaceae.